RNAcentral lists this transfer RNA (77 nucleotides) under Gammaproteobacteria bacterium. RNAcentral describes it as "tRNA-Arg". It matches the Rfam family "tRNA". Rfam says of the family: Transfer RNA (tRNA) molecules are approximately 80 nucleotides in length. The record is from RNAcentral. Lineage: Bacteria; Pseudomonadati; Pseudomonadota; Gammaproteobacteria.
CCGCCCUUAGCUCAGUUGGAUAGAGCGACUCCCUCCUAAGGAGUAGGCCGCAGGUUCAACUCCUGCAGGGCGGACCA